This 303-nucleotide ribosomal RNA is filed under the name uncultured bacterium. RNAcentral's name for it is "partial 16S ribosomal RNA". It matches the Rfam family "Bacterial small subunit ribosomal RNA", at positions 507 to 807 of the family's 1533-position model. The record is from RNAcentral.
AGCAGCAGCCACGGUAAUACGAAGGGUGCAAGCGUUAAUCGGAAUUACUGGGCGUAAAGCGUGCGUAGGCGGUGAGUUAAGUCUGCUGUGAAAUCCCCGGGCUCAACCUGGGAAUGGCAGUGGAUACUGGCUCGCUAGAGUGUGUCAGAGGAUGGUGGAAUUCCCGGUGUAGCGGUGAAAUGCGUAGAGAUCGGGAGGAACAUCAGUGGCGAAGGCGGCCAUCUGGGACAACACUGACGCUGAGGCACGAAAGCGUGGGGAGCAAACAGGAUUAGAUACCCCCGUAGUCCCUGUCUCUUAUAC